This is a long non-coding RNA of Leptopilina boulardi, 990 nucleotides long. RefSeq lists it as uncharacterized. The record is from RefSeq and is a predicted model, not a curated record. The transcript is spliced from 3 exons. Lineage: Eukaryota; Metazoa; Arthropoda; Insecta; Hymenoptera; Figitidae.
UCAAUUCCUGUAAAUUAUAAUUGAUAAGUACCUAAAUUAUUAUUGACUAAACAAAAAUUUUAUAUAUUUUAUAAAAAAAUUACUUGAGUAUCCAAUAAUACAUAUAUGACAUUUACUGUGAGUUUCCAUAAGAGCAAAUACUAACUGAAACGUGAAAGAUAAGGUGUAGAAAAUCUGCGGUGUGGUCCAAACUUUGUAUCUGCUCGUAACCACAAAGUCACGUUUCGCUUCAAAGAAACUUUAUGUAUAGAAAAAGUCAUUAGCUUUCUUUUUCAUCGGCAAGCUCUUGUUGAAAAAAAGGUAUUAUAACAGUGAUUAUCUUUAUAUUGAAAGCAGCAGGCAGGAUCGAAUAACUUGACGAAGACUAGUUGCCACAAACAAUGUUGGGAAAUGUUGGAACAAACACAUGUGGCAAUGGAUAAGUGCGGUAGAAAAGAAUGUUGGAAAACGAUUCUAGAUGUAAUUGUGUGGAGUGCACUCUUUGAGGAUGCCCAGGGGCAAUUCCUCAACAACAUUGGGAAAGCCACCCAUUAUCGACCCACUCACGACCACCCAAACUUGUACCCAGCAACCUUCUCACUUUUGGCGACACUGACACAACACUAUUUCUUUUCAUUUCUACUAUUCUAUUCAUGAUUGCACCUCUCUUAAAUGUCAAUUUGCCAAAAUCUCGCUUCUAAAGUGAUUAAUUCUGUACUAUACUAAACUUUAUUAAAUAAAUAAAACUUAAAAAAUUAAAUUCAUUGAACUUGAAAUAUCAGCUGAGUCCAGAGCAUUAAAAUUUUAACAGAUCAUGUAUUAACGCUGGCUGGCAGCCAAAAUCCUUGCUCGAACCAUUCAUCUAAUUUUUAAGUCAUUUCUAAACCAUCGUUUAACUAUUCAGCAAUGCCAAACCAAUUCUUGAGCUGUAUAGAAAAUUUUCACCCAUCUAACCUUAAGUUAUAAUAUAAUCGAGAACUCGGGUUCCGGAACUCGAAUUUUUCGAGUGCU